RNAcentral lists this ribosomal RNA (501 nucleotides) under Zeugodacus platamus. RNAcentral describes it as "partial large subunit ribosomal RNA". It matches the Rfam family "Bacterial large subunit ribosomal RNA", at positions 1799 to 2568 of the family's 2925-position model. The record is from RNAcentral. Lineage: Eukaryota; Metazoa; Arthropoda; Insecta; Diptera; Tephritidae.
CCUGUUUAACAAAAACAUGUCUUUUUGAGUUAUUUUUAAAGUCUGACCUGCCCACUGAAUUUUUAAAUGGCCGCAGUAUUCUAACUGUGCAAAGGUAGCAUAAUCAUUAGUCUUUUAAUUGAAGGCUGGUAUGAACGGUUGGACGAGGUAUAAGCUGUUUCAUAUAAAUUUAUAAUAGAAUUUUAUAUUUUAGUCAAAAAGCUAAAAUAUUAUUAAAAGACGAGAAGACCCUAUAAAUCUUUAUAUUUUUUAAUAUUUAAAUUUUUUGGAUUUGUUUUAUUUUUAUAAUAAAAAAUAUUUUGUUGGGGUGAUGUUAAAAUUUAAUGAACUUUUAAUUAUUUAAAAUCAUUAAUUUAUGAAUUAUUGAUCCAUUAGUAGUGAUUAUAAGAUUAAGUUACUUUAGGGAUAACAGCGUAAUUUUUUUGGAGAGUUCAUAUCGAUAAAAAAGUUUGCGACCUCGAUGUUGGAUUAAGAUAUAAUUUUAGGUGUAGCCGCUUAAAU